This 465-nucleotide ribosomal RNA is filed under the name Vreelandella stevensii. Its description in RNAcentral is "partial 16S ribosomal RNA". It matches the Rfam family "Bacterial small subunit ribosomal RNA", at positions 338 to 795 of the family's 1533-position model. The record is from RNAcentral. Lineage: Bacteria; Pseudomonadati; Pseudomonadota; Gammaproteobacteria; Oceanospirillales; Halomonadaceae.
CCUACGGGUGGCAGCAGUGGGGAAUAUUGGACAAUGGGGGGAACCCUGAUCCAGCCAUGCCGCGUGUGUGAAGAAGGCCCUCGGGUUGUAAAGCACUUUCAGUGAGGAAGAACGCCUGGUGGUUAAUACCCAUCAGGAAAGACAUCACUCACAGAAGAAGCACCGGCUAACUCCGUGCCAGCAGCCGCGGUAAUACGGAGGGUGCGAGCGUUAAUCGGACUUACUGGGCGUAAAGCGCGCGUAGGUGGCUUGAUAAGCCGGUUGUGAAAGCCCCGGGCUCAACCUGGGAACGGCAUCCGGAACUGUCAAGCUAGAGUGCAGGAGAGGAAGGUAGAAUUCCCGGUGUAGCGGUGAAAUGCGUAGAGAUCGGGAGGAAUACCAGUGGCGAAGGCGGCCUUCUGGACUGACACUGACACUGAGGUGCGAAAGCGUGGGUAGCAAACAGGAUUAGAUACCCUGGUAGUC